GUAAGGAAUAUUGGUCAAUGGACGAAAGUCUGAACCAGCCAUGCCGCGUGAAGGAUGAAGGCCCUCUGGGUUGUAAACUUCUUUUAUCUGGGACGAAAAAAGGGUAUUCUUACUCACUUGACGGUACCAGAGGAAUAAGCACCGGCUAACUCCGUGCCAGCAGCCGCGGUAAUACGGAGGGUGCAAGCGUUAUCCGGAUUCACUGGGUUUAAAGGGUGCGUAGGUGGGUAUUUAAGUCAGUGGUGAAAUCUCCGAGCUUAACUCGGAAACUGCCAUUGAUACUAUUUACCUUGAAUGCCCUGGAGGUAAGCGGAAUAUGUCAUGUAGCGGUGAAAUGCUUAGAUAUGACAUAGAACACCAAGUGCGAAGGCAGCUUACUACGGGGUGAUUGACACUGAGGCACGAAAGCGUGGGGAGCAAACAGGAUUAGAAACCCCUGUAGUCC
This 445-nucleotide ribosomal RNA is filed under the name uncultured bacterium. RNAcentral describes it as "partial 16S ribosomal RNA". It matches the Rfam family "Bacterial small subunit ribosomal RNA", at positions 354 to 796 of the family's 1533-position model. The record is from RNAcentral.